Molecule: long non-coding RNA, 232 nt
Filed under: Elaeis guineensis (African oil palm)
Lineage: Eukaryota; Viridiplantae; Streptophyta; Magnoliopsida; Arecales; Arecaceae
Description: long non-coding RNA (EGUI_LNC017248)
Source: RNAcentral
UGGCUUUAAAUUUUCUACAAGUUAACGAAAUUUUUCCCUGCAUAAAUCAAAUAGUUUUUUGUUAAUUUGUGCAUAGUUUGAGACAAUCUAAGUUGAAUUCCACACAUACAUCAGGCAAGCAACAACUUUAUCGAGAAACUAUUUUAGUUGGAUUGAUUAUAACCCAGUUUCUGCUUUUCUAAUAGCAAUCUUCAUCUUCAACUGAUGUUCUGGUAGCUUAUGUAUGCACUGC